CCAUGUGCUUCCCCCUGAAUUAGUUGCAAUACCAACAGACUUCCCCUCCACCUCAAAAGUCUUCUUUGUGAGCAUGGAUUUUCAAAGAUUGGCCAAAGAGUAUGGAGGCAGUGCUUUUGCUGUAUUGGACGAUACAAUUAUUUUCUCAAACUACAAGGAUCAACAGUUAUACAAAUUAACUAUUAGAAUUUAUAGGAAUAAUCAAGAAUGAAUAAAUAUUACAACCAAUCUCAAUUUGAUGAAGUAAGAAGUUAAAAGUUGAAGCAAAUUUGUAUACUCGUAUGUAUAAGGUGCCUAAGUUGUGUAUAUUAGGAUAAAUAUUUGGGAUCAUUAUGGAUUUUAGUGCUGCUCUUGUGGAUAUACUUUUGGUUUUGUGUGAUGUAAUUUUUGGUAAAUAGUGAAUAUACUUUUGGAUAUAGUUUUGUGGAUAUACUUUUGGAUAUAAUUAUGGAUAAAAACUUGUUGGUUA
This is a long non-coding RNA of Zingiber officinale, 469 nucleotides long. RefSeq lists it as uncharacterized. Lineage: Eukaryota; Viridiplantae; Streptophyta; Magnoliopsida; Zingiberales; Zingiberaceae. The transcript is spliced from 2 exons. The record is from RefSeq and is a predicted model, not a curated record.